UGGCCCUGUGCCCACUUUGGGUUGUUUGUCACUCCACUUGGUAAGAGACGAUGUUUAAAGACAAGUCUUGGUGCUGGAACAUAACACUGUUGAAGGCACAGGUUUGGCAGCCAUCACCAAAGGCUGAUUUGGACUGCAAGUGCAACCCAAAUAACCCAUCUAAUGCACAACAGCAUAGAGAGAGUCUCAAGGGUUGUUCAACAGUGAUCUCCAAAAAAGUUAAACAUUGACGGGCUCUGAGCAAGUCUAGUUAAAGCUGUUGGCAAUUUGAUUGCUAUGGGGCAAUGAGAGGAGCUGGCAGCAGGGAAGGAGAAGCCAGGGCCACUUCUACCAAGGAUCAGAUUCCUCAUGUUCACACGGGCUUGGUAAAGUGCACUGGGAUUUUGUUCAAGGAAAUGCCAGGACAUGUAAGCUUGCCAGUUUGCAGAGCAGCUUUCUCACCUGCUUGGCCCUUACAGCCAAGCUACCAUGUGGCUGUGUAAAGGCAGGAGAGCAAGGAGACCAAGGUCAAACCUAGCAAUGCUCAAGGUAGCAUGGGUGACAGGUGACAGAUAAAGUGAGAAGCCAUGCAUGGGAGGAGGUUCUGAUCCCCUCAAAAGCAAGCCAAACUGACAACUAUUAAA
Vidua chalybeata is the source of this 623-nucleotide long non-coding RNA. RefSeq lists it as uncharacterized. NCBI's taxonomy places the organism in Eukaryota, Metazoa, Chordata, Aves, Passeriformes, Viduidae. The record is from RefSeq and is a predicted model, not a curated record. The transcript has 3 exons.